GAGCAGUUUUUCUCUCGCCCCGAGGGAGGUGCGACGGCGGGACGUGCCUCUUUUAUAGCCUGGGAGGUAGUGGUUGAGCAUUAAAAUGCUGCGGUAGAGAGCUAGGUAGAGCUGCACUAGAGGAUUAUUUUGUGAACCCCCUAAAUGGCGGGAGGCAAGCCACCUGGCUUCUUUUGCGUUUUCUACCACGUUAUGUUUUGUGUCUUCGUUUUGACCCUUUUCGGAGAAGGCAAUGGCACCCCACUCCAGUACUCUUGCCUGGAAAAUCCCAUGGACGGAGGAGCCUGUUAGACUGCAGUCCAUGGGGUCGCUAGGAGUCGGACACGACUGUAUAACUUUCAAGUAGACAACCUGAGCGACAUCACUUUCACUUUUCACUUUCAUGCAUUGGAGAAGGAAAUGGCAAGCCACUCCAGUGUUCUUGCCUGGAGAAUCCCAGGGACGGGGGAGCCUGGUGGGCUGCCGUCUCUGGGGUCACACAGAGUCGGACACGACUGAAGCGACUUAGCAACUUAGCAGUUUGACCCUUUUACGUGGCCUCAGUUUACUUGGCUUAAAUUCUCUGAGUCUUGAUUUCCUCAUCUUUAAAAUGAGGGGCCUGGCUACAGUCUCGGACAUUCCAUCCUUCACGUGUCCACAUCUUCCUGACGGCAGACAUGGCAGGACCAGUCAUUUUCCCUGGGGCUGAAUCUAUUAGAUCUACACAGGAGAGCAUUGAGAGAGCUAAUUGGAAAGAUUGCUAAGCUUGCUGCAAGAAGCCAGAGAGGGGCAUUUUAUUUCUCACUUGGAUGCUUGCUGAGCCGCAGAACACGUAGGUCUCCCCUGGAGCUGUCAUGGAAGUAUGGUGAUGAAAUUACUAGGAGAACUUGGCUUGUACCCUCUGGGACUUGGAGCAGAGUACCCUGACUGCCUCUGGACUUGAGUGCAUGAAGCAAGCAUCCGUGUCUGGGAGACCCAGUGAAAAUGAACUUUAGGGCAACUACUGGCUGUCAGCAGGCAAGAAACGGAGGCCCCCAGUCCAGCAGGACAGAGAUCGCUGACUCCUGCUAGCAAGCAUAUGAAGCUGGGAGCAGAUCCCUCUCCAGUUGAGCUUUCAGAUGAGAUGCUGGAAACCUCGAUUGAAGCUUCAUGAGAGACCCCGAAGCAGAGGACCUGGACUGCAGUAUAAGUCCCUGGAGAUUGUUCUCAGAAAUAAAUAUAAC
Molecule: long non-coding RNA, 1202 nt
Organism: Bos taurus (domestic cattle)
Lineage: Eukaryota; Metazoa; Chordata; Mammalia; Artiodactyla; Bovidae
Source: Ensembl